RNAcentral lists this transfer RNA (72 nucleotides) under Nepenthes khasiana. Its description in RNAcentral is "tRNA-Gln". It matches the Rfam family "tRNA". Rfam says of the family: Transfer RNA (tRNA) molecules are approximately 80 nucleotides in length. Their secondary structure includes four short double-helical elements and three loops (D, anti-codon, and T loops). RNAcentral also lists the same sequence under 4 other names. Lineage: Eukaryota; Viridiplantae; Streptophyta; Magnoliopsida; Caryophyllales; Nepenthaceae. The record is from RNAcentral.
UGGGGCGUGGCCAAGUGGUAAGGCAACGGGUUUUGGUCCCGGUAUGCGGAGGUUCGAAUCCUUCCGUCCCAG